This is a long non-coding RNA of Hevea brasiliensis (rubber tree), 1757 nucleotides long. RefSeq lists it as uncharacterized. NCBI's taxonomy places the organism in Eukaryota, Viridiplantae, Streptophyta, Magnoliopsida, Malpighiales, Euphorbiaceae. The record is from RefSeq and is a predicted model, not a curated record. The transcript has 3 exons.
UAUUUAGCUAAAUUCUUUUAUUUUCUCCAUGUCUGAUUCGAAAUAGAAUUCUAGUAACCUCAUUUUUAUUUUUCUGACAUUGUUUAUUGCCAGUAAAAACCACAUAUCUGUGCCGUUGUACCUUUUCUUUAAUCUCUCUCCAUAUAGGUCCUUUAUGGGCUGGAAUAUGCAUAUGCGAUCCCACAUGUUAGAGAAGAGUUGGCAGCAUCGUCAUCAAUGCAAUCUGGGCCCAAGUCAUCAAUGCAUUCAGACUUCCAUUUUGCUGAUGUUAGGUGUUAUGUAACAAAUCCUUCUGACAAUAAAAAAAAUCCUGAUGGGCUUCCAAUAGCAUUUGGUGACUAAAGUGCUAGUGAUGAUGUUGGGGCAGCUGCUGGUUCUAGGCAUAGAAUUGGUGGUUUGAUGUGGGAGUUGCCUAAUGGGCACAGGAGGGAGGACUAUUUGCUUGUAUGGGUUUUUUCUGGCAAUUCAGCAUUAGCAAUGUUCUCCUGACAUUUAAUGGCUGUGAAAUAGGCGGAAGUGUUGCAAUGUUUUGCUUAAAAUUUGUUGCAAAAAUUGCCUAGAUAUUGGCAUGUGUCUGCUUAACAAAAUUUUAUGUGUGUGGCUUUACCCAGUUUCUGGCAGAUGUGUGUUGUGUACUCGAUGUUUUUCCUCAGUCUAGGCAAUUGACUUCCUGAUUGCUUUAGAUUCAUUAUCGUUAAGGAUAGCCAGAGUUUCGUUACUCAUUAUCUGUUUACAUUGGUCUAAUCUAUUGAUUUUUUUACUCAAGCUGUGAUCUGCGCUUGCUUUCAUCAAUGAGCUUGUCCAAUUUUUAUCUGUAGUGCUUUACCCAAGAAAGGUUUUGAGAACCUUGAAAUAUUUUGUUUUGAUUAUUGCAUUCCAGGCACCAAUUGAUUGCAACUAGUUUGGGAUUAAGGCAUAGUUGUUGUUGAACUGCAUUCCUUGUAUUAAUGGAAAUUGUGUAAUUGGAAUUCUAUUGUUGCAAACGAAUUGAUCUUGUUAGGCACGCACAUAAUUAAAUAUGCAAUAGACAUAAACCACAAUAAAAAUGGUAUUACUUCGUAUUCCUUUCCUUAGACAAAAAUCUUCAUUUUGAUUUGGUUGCAUGUUUUAGUCAGAUAUGAUGCAGAAGAAAAUCGCUUCGUGACAGAUUUAUCUCAACAGAGAAUGAUUCUUAAGUGUAGGUAUUACUAAUGCUAUACAAGAUAAAAAUACUCCACCUUUGAUCUUUGCCUCUCACUAAGAACUGAUACCUAUUUUUUCUCUUUUAUCCUGAAUUCCUGAUAUAUUGUUCUUUUCUAGGGAGGUUCUCCAUUAAUAUUCUGUAUGUGUUGCAUGAUUUUCUUGAAUGUUUUUCAUGAAGAUAUUACCUGCUGGAGAAGGCAAAAGAUGUUAACAUUGUUGGAAUUUUGGUGGGAACUCUUAGUGUAGAUAGUGAAAGAUGGCAUGUCGGAGGGAAAAAUGCUUACACUCUUGUAUGAGAAGAUCAAACCCUGUAAAACUUGCCAACUUUCCUAAGUGUAAUGUUUCCUGUGCUCAAAUUGCUCUCUUGGAUAGUAAAGAUUUCUUGGCUCCAGUUAUCACUCCAUUUGAAGCCAUGGUAGCUUUUAGUGGGUUUGCAAAUGUUCACCCAACUUCUAUUAUGAAACACUGUAUUAAUAUUUUUUUUUUGCCCAUGACCACUUCUGCCUUGUCAAAUGUUACUUCUAAGUAUAUGUGUGGUCCAAAAUAAAAUCAUGAUCUAGAAGAAUGACACUGAU